RNAcentral lists this ribosomal RNA (365 nucleotides) under Anophryoides haemophila. RNAcentral describes it as "partial Bacterial small subunit ribosomal RNA". It matches the Rfam family "Bacterial small subunit ribosomal RNA", at positions 1051 to 1415 of the family's 1533-position model. Lineage: Eukaryota; Ciliophora; Oligohymenophorea; Philasterida; Glauconematidae. The record is from RNAcentral.
GUCGUCAGCUCGUGCCGUGAGGUGUUGGGUUAAGUCCCGCAACGAGCGCAACCCCUAUCUUUAGUUGCCAUCAGGUAAUGCUGGGGACUCUAAAGAAACUGCCCGCGCAAGCGGUGAGGAAGGUGGGGAUGACGUCAAGUCAUCACGGCCCUUACGUCCUGGGCUACACACGUGCUACAAUGGCAGAUACAAAGGGCAGCUACAUGGUGACAUGAUGCUAAUCUCUAAAGUCUGUCUCAGUUCGGAUUGAAGUCUGCAACUCGACUUCAUGAAGCUGGAUUCGCUAGUAAUCGUAUAUCAGCAAUGAUACGGUGAAUACGUUCCCGGGCCUUGUACACACCGCCCGUCAAGCCAUGGAAGUUGGG